This 640-nucleotide long non-coding RNA is filed under the name Manihot esculenta (cassava). RNAcentral describes it as "long non-coding RNA (MESC_LNC000080)". The record is from RNAcentral. Lineage: Eukaryota; Viridiplantae; Streptophyta; Magnoliopsida; Malpighiales; Euphorbiaceae.
UGAUCAAGCAUAAUUUAGCCACAUUUUUAUCAUAAUUAUUAUUGCUUAUUUACACAUUUUUCAGUUUAAUUUAUGGUUUUUAUCUUGUUUUUACAGAAAAGGAAGAAAUUGGAAAAUGGGAGAAAAAGUGCAGAAAAUUUACAAAAGGAUGAUUUACCCAGUGAUUUGCCCAAGAUCACCAGAUAAUCUGCUCCAAUCACUGCCCAGAUCAAGCUAAAGCAGAAACCCGGAGGCAACAGGCAGUAGUGAUAUGGCAAGUGAUUUGCCCAAGACACUCGAAGAUCACUGGCCAAAUCACUGGCAGAGACAUAGGGGACUGACUCACAGAGAAGUGAUUGGGGCAGUGAUUUGCCCAAAAUACUCAAAUCACCGGGCAAAUCACUUUGACAGCAGAAACUUACAGCAGAGCGGGAAAAUGGGCAGAAAACAGAAAUCCGAAUUUUCAGAAGUCCAAAUCCAAUCCAAUCACUUCCAACACAAAACCAAGAGCCACGAAAGAGUCUCUCAUCCAAGGAAUUCCAAUUGCAAUUAAAAUCAACAUCAAAAGAGGAGUCAAACACCAAAUCAAAGAGGGAUUUUAAAACCCUAGAUGGAGAGAAAUUCUGCAGCUAUAAAAGUAGAGCCUCCAAACCAGCAAAGG